RNAcentral lists this ribosomal RNA (579 nucleotides) under uncultured bacterium. RNAcentral describes it as "partial 16S ribosomal RNA". It matches the Rfam family "Bacterial small subunit ribosomal RNA", at positions 355 to 932 of the family's 1533-position model. The record is from RNAcentral.
UGGGGAAUUUUGGACAAUGGGCGAAAGCCUGAUCCAGCAAUGCCGCGUGUGUGAAGAAGGCCUUCGGGUUGUAAAGCGCUUUUGUCCGGAAAGAAAUCCUUGGCUCUAAUACAGUCGGGGGAUGACGGUACCGGAAGAAUAAGCACCGGCUAACUACGUGCCAGCAGCCGCGGUAAUACGUAGGGUGCAAGCGUUAAUCGGAAUUACUGGGCGUAAAGCGUGCGCAGGCGGUUUGCUAAGACCGAUGUGAAAUCCCCGGGCUCAACCUGGGAACUGCAUUGGUGACUGGCAGGCUAGAGUAUGGCAGAGGGGGGUAGAAUUCCACGUGUAGCAGUGAAAUGCGUAGAGAUGUGGAGGAAUACCGAUGGCGAAGGCAGCCCCCUGGGCCAAUACUGACGCUCAUGCACGAAAGCGUGGGGAGCAAACAGGAUUAGAUACCCUGGUAGUCCACGCCCUAAACGAUGUCAACUAGUUGUUGGGGAUUCAUUUCCUUAGUAACGUAGCUAACGCGUGAAGUUGACCGCCUGGGGAGUACGGUCGCAAGAUUAAAACUCAAAUGAAUUGACGGGGUCAUAGCUG